GAUGAACGCUGGCGGCGCGCCUAAUACAUGCAAGUCGAGCGAACAGAUAAGGAGCUUGCUCCUUUGACGUUAGCGGCGGACGGGUGAGUAACACGUGGGUAACCUACCUAUAAGACUGGAAUAACUCCGGGAAACCGGGGCUAAUGCCGGAUAACAUUUAGAACCGCAUGGUUCUAAAGUGAAAGAUGGUUUUGCUAUCACUUAUAGAUGGACCCGCGCCGUAUUAGCUAGUUGGUAAGGUAACGGCUUACCAAGGCAACGAUACGUAGCCGACCUGAGAGGGUGAUCGGCCACACUGGAACUGAGACACGGUCCAGACUCCUACGGGAGGCAGCAGUAGGGAAUCUUCCGCAAUGGGCGAAAGCCUGACGGAGCAACGCCGCGUGAGUGAUGAAGGUCUUCGGAUCGUAAAACUCUGUUAUUAGGGAAGAACAAAUGUGUAAGUAACUGUGCACGUCUUGACGGUACCUAAUCAGAAAGCCACGGCUAACUACGUG
This 497-nucleotide ribosomal RNA is filed under the name uncultured bacterium. RNAcentral describes it as "partial 16S ribosomal RNA". It matches the Rfam family "Bacterial small subunit ribosomal RNA", at positions 28 to 507 of the family's 1533-position model. The record is from RNAcentral.